CACAGAACCCAUCAAGUCUUUGGCUAUUCACGGAACUGAGCCCCUUGUGCUGUCAGCAUCCGUGGAUGGCAAAAUUUUGCUGUGGGACUAUGCAAAUGACUGGCAUUUGAUUAAAACAUUUGAUGCGAGAAGUCAACGUUUGGUGCAAGUCGCGUUUAAUCCAAAGGACACCAAUAUGUUUGCUAGUGCUCAGGGCAAAACAGUAAAGAUUUGGGAUCGCCAGCAUGAUGAAUGCCAAUACAAAUUAGAUGGGCAUUCACAUCAGAUCGAGUGUUUUGAUUACUUUAGUGGUGGUGAUUUUGAUAAGCUAUAUAUAGUCACCGGCUCUCAAGAUAAAACUGCCAAGAUCUGGGACUGCGAGAAUGCGGGCUGUGUCCAGACACUGGAAGGACAUGCAGGUCCCGUUAGAGCUGUCUGUUACCAUCAGAAUCUCUCGUUAUUAAUUACAGGGUGCUCUGACGGAUCAAUUCAUCUAUGGAACUCCACUACCUUCAGGCUUGAGCAUAAACUGAACUUUGCUGACUUCGGAUUACUGAGUUCUGUAGCUUGUUUGAAAGGAUCGAAAAGGAUUGCAAUCAGAAGCAGGGAAGGAUUAGCACUUGUAGACAUAGACAUAGAGGACAAGAAGGAUAGCGAUGUGGAGAGCAUCACGACUACUGCUUCCAUGAACGACACAGGUCCAAUUACAGAAGAGAACGGAGUGGCAGCAGACCAUAUCUCUGAUGACCACCUGGCGCAGGGCGUAGUAUAUGUACAUACAGAGAUUAUAGGCAAAGUCAAUUCAGCAUGCACCAUAGACGUCCAUCCGACAAAGCCAUGGAUGGUCAUCACUCAAGCUAACAAGUUUGUUCAUGUUUGGGACUACCAUACAAAGGCAAUGGAAUGGACGAUUCAGAUUAAGGGAGCGAAAGUUAGUUCAGCUAAAUUUAUAGCCAGCCAGGAUUGGAUUGUGGCGGGUACUACCCGUGGAUUCCUCCACGUGUACGAUUGCGAAUCGAGGAAGGAAAUACGCCGUCUUUGUGAACACCCG
This 1030-nucleotide unclassified non-coding RNA is filed under the name Zea mays. Its description in RNAcentral is "misc RNA Zm00001eb195360". The record is from RNAcentral. Lineage: Eukaryota; Viridiplantae; Streptophyta; Magnoliopsida; Poales; Poaceae.